Molecule: long non-coding RNA, 1598 nt
Filed under: Cairina moschata (Muscovy duck)
Lineage: Eukaryota; Metazoa; Chordata; Aves; Anseriformes; Anatidae
Description: domestica (muscovy Duck (domestic type)) lncRNA (ENSCMMG00000000864.1)
Source: RNAcentral
GUUAGAAGCCUUGCAGUGAACUAGCCUCUAGCUGGAGCCAGAGAUUUGUGUAUUCCUCUGUGGUCCUGAAGCAGUCUAACAAGUCAAGGCUUCAACAAGCUGGCCACGGGAGCAGAGGAAGAUAGAGACAGCCCUGGCACGAAGGGGACUUGAAUGUCUGAAGUCCCUUUUGAUUUCCACCCUGCCACCCCACCGCAGCCUUCCGAAUUGUUGGCAGGAUGAACUUGGGGCAGGAUAUAGCCCAGAUGCUGGCAGCUGUGAGUUGACUGCAGCCAUACAGAUGAGUCUUACAGAUAUGACAGGACACGUCCUUGGUAGUGGUGCUGGCAGCGAACCCGUGGGCAGUAUGCCACAGCUCAGUUACCCCAUUGCACCACCCUGCCUGCUUUCAGGUUAAAGCUGUGGGGUUCAGCCGCUCUCCCAGCCCCUGAGCACAAGUCUGAGGAGAGAGAAUGGGUGUUACCCAUAAAUCCCCUUAAAAUCACACUCCAAAACAGAGGAAACAGAUGGGAGGAGGCACCUUUUUGAGACUAAUCUAGGCAGAGACUAUAAGAGGAAAAGCCAAAUCCAAGUUAUUGUCAAAAUAAACCAAUAAUAGAUGUUUGUAAUUUCUGAGAUUUAUGGCCAUGAGAAGCUGUUGCACACUUUUGAUGGCCUCUUCCUUGCACGCUGUGCUUCCUCGCCUGUCUCAGAGCUCUGUGAAGGCAGGGGAGGAAUUAAACUGUGUCCUCCCUGGCAGACAGGCAGGAGGCUGAAGCAUCCUGGAGAUUCCCUGGGGAAAGAAUGCUGGACCCGCAGCAGCACAGGCCUUCUUUCAGGAGCUGGACCAACACGAGAGGCUUGCUGCGAGCUGGGGUGGACGGUGGAGGCAGAAGAGCUGUGGGAUCCCAAGGAAGAGCUGCGGCUUCUGGAGGCAACAACCAGCCCUAGGAGUCAGCUCUUACUCACGCCGCCUCCGUGGAAAAUAUAAGAACGGGGUUGGUAAUCUGGCUGUGACUAAGGAGGGGAACAUCCCCGCUGCUGUCGGUGUGGCCAGGAUUUCCCUCCACCAGCUCUGCGAUGCUGAGGAUACCGGCCCACCAGCAGCUGUGUCUGGCCUGGGAAGAUGAUCUUGGUGCUUCUGUGACCCCACAAGAUCCCAGGGGAUGGGCUGGAGGGGCUGCAGCGAUCCCACCAUGCAGGGCACCAGCACAGGGCUCUCUUGACAGGACCUCACCAGGACCCAUUCCUCUGCAGCAUCGCUCUGCAAGUAUCCUGCAGGUCUGUCCCGAAUCCUGCUCAUUAGAAAGAAAUCCACCCCCAGGAGCUGCGAAAGCCCCAGCAAUGUUGUGAAAGAUACCAGGGGCACUUGGGGCCAGCUGCACGGCCCUCACGGAGCAGGGAAAUGUUCCUGCCGGUGCCGGUCGCUGAGUCUUCACAUUCCAGCCCCGUGCUCGGAGGAACAAAACCUCUUAGCUCUGCACUUACUGGAGACAAGCUCGAAGUCGUCUGGAGUCAGGCGUUGUAAAAAUUUAAUGAUGCGGGACAAAUCGGGGUGACCAAAAUAGCCAUCGGGACAGAGACUGCCUUGUGAUGUAGCGCACCCAGCCAGGUCUCGG